GUCACUAUGUGGUUUAUAGAGUUACAGGUCAAUACGGGGUUUAUAGAGUUACAGGUCACUACGUGGUUUAUAGAGUUACAGGUCACUACAGGGUUUAUAGAGUUACAGGUCAAUAUGUGGUUUAUAGAGUUACAGGUCACUAUGUGGUUUAUAGAGUUACAGGUCAAUACGGGGUUUAUAGAGUUACAGGUCAAUACGGGGUUUAUAGAGUUACAGGUCACUAUGUGGUUUAUUACAGUUACAGGUCACUAUGUGGUUUAUAGAGUUACAGGUCAAUAUGUGGUUUAUUACAGUUACAGGUCACUAUGUGGUUUAUAGAGUUACAGGUCAAUAUGUGGUUUAUUACAGUUACAGGUCACUAUGUGGUUUAUAGAGUUACAGGUCAAUAUGUGGUUUAUUACAGUUACAGGUCACUAUGUGGUUUAUAGAGUUACAGGUCAAUACGGGGUUUAUAGAGUUACAGGUCAAUACAUGGUUUAUAGAUUUUUAUUACAUAGCUUAUAUGUUUAUAACAUGGUAUAUAUGUCUAUAACAUGUUUAUAGAUCUUUAUAAACAUACAAUAGAAUCACUCAAUUGACCUAAUUGGAUGUACAAAGUUUGUUGUGUGU
Molecule: long non-coding RNA, 609 nt
Filed under: Salmo salar (Atlantic salmon)
Lineage: Eukaryota; Metazoa; Chordata; Actinopteri; Salmoniformes; Salmonidae
Description: lncRNA (ENSSSAG00000082059.1)
Source: RNAcentral